This 450-nucleotide ribosomal RNA is filed under the name uncultured bacterium. Its description in RNAcentral is "partial 16S ribosomal RNA". It matches the Rfam family "Bacterial small subunit ribosomal RNA", at positions 354 to 796 of the family's 1533-position model. The record is from RNAcentral.
GUCGAGAAUAAUUCACAAUGGGGGAAACCCUGAUGGUGCAACGCCGCGUGGAGGAUGAAGGUCUUCGGAUUGUAAACUCCUGUCAUCUGGGAGUAAGACCUGACGGUGAAUAGCCGGCAGGGUUGAUAGUACCAGAAGAGGAAGGGACGGCUAACUUCGUGCCAGCAGCCGCGGUAAUACGAAGGUCCCAAGCGUUGUUCGGAAUCACUGGGCGUAAAGGGAGCGUAGGCGGCGUGGUAAGUCAGAUGUGAAAUCCCGGGGCUCAACCCCGGAACUGCAUCCGAUACUGCCAUGCUUGAGGGUUGGAGAGGUAGCUGGAAUUCUCGGUGUAGCAGUGAAAUGCGUGGAUAUCGAGAGGAACACUCGUGGCGAAGGCGAGCUACUGGACAACAUCUGACGCUGAGGCUCGAAGGCCAGGGGAGCAAAAGGGAUUAGAAACCCGAGUAGUCC